This 466-nucleotide ribosomal RNA is filed under the name uncultured bacterium. RNAcentral's name for it is "partial 16S ribosomal RNA". It matches the Rfam family "Bacterial small subunit ribosomal RNA", at positions 28 to 507 of the family's 1533-position model. The record is from RNAcentral.
GACGAACGCUGGCGGCGUGCUUAACACAUGCAAGUCGAACGGAAAGGCCCUGCUUGCAGGGUACUCGAGUGGCGAACGGGUGAGUAACACGUGGGUGAUCUGCCCUGCACUUCGGGAUAAGCUUGGGAAACUGGGUCUAAUACCGGAUAGGAGCCAUCUUUAGUGUGGUGGUUGGAAAGUUUUUUCGGUGUAGGAUGAGCUCGCGGCCUAUCAGCUUGUUGGUGGGGUAAUGGCCUACCAAGGCGGCGACGGGUAGCCGGCCUGAGAGGGUGUACGGCCACAUUGGGACUGAGAUACGGCCCAGACUCCUACGGGAGGCAGCAGUGGGGAAUAUUGCACAAUGGGCGCAAGCCUGAUGCAGCGACGCCGCGUGGGGGAUGAAGGCCUUCGGGUUGUAAACUCCUUUCGCUAGGGAAGAAGCUUUUUUGUGACGGUACCUAGAGAAGAAGCACCGGCUAACUACGUG